CAGGCCCACGCAGGGGGUAUAGAAGGCCAUGGAGGGGGUGUGAGGCCACGAAACACUGAUUGGGCCUUAAUUGGGAUUAGGCCCAAUCCGGAUGGAUAUUCAACGAGGGAACGCAAGGUUCCCCUCAUCUUCUUCCCUUCACUCACGACCAACGGCAGCCCAAUGCCAAACGCCGAUCCCGGCCACACCGGCGACGUAACACGGCGGUCCCUACGCCGUCCUCCGUUCUGAACUCCCUUCACCAAAACGAGAUAACAUGAUCCUACCACUUAGAAACGUCUACCACGAUCCUUCGACGCGGUAAAUCGAUUAUGAACGAAAACAGAAACGGAUUCAUGUCGCUCUCACGAAUCAGAUCGAAUACUCGAAGCAGAAUGAACUCGGUGAUGACUCACACCACAACACCAUAAUCAAUCAUCAUAACAGGAAGAAACAACCUACCGGCGGAUGCGACGGGAACGAAGGAGACGACUGCGAAAAUUUAUACGCUUUCACUCCUUCGUUUUCCUUCGUCUUCUCUUCCUUCUAUCCGUUUCUGGCGAUGGAGACGAUUCUGAUUCAAUCGAAAGAGGCUUUGUUUGGUUGCUCCAGCUGACGAACGGCGAUUCGACUUGCAGGAAUUGGUGGAUUCGUCGCCGUAACGCUCUCCUGCAGGUUAAAGAAGAAGGAGGAGAAGCAAUUCUGCAGGUUGCGUUUUGGAAGAUUUUUAAAGAAGAAGACCUCACUCAAUUUUGAUGUUUAUAUAGUGUUCUGAAAAUCGAAUUCCAUCUUGAUGGUAGCUUACCGUUGGCUUCGUUGCAAUUACCGCUUGUUGUUGCUUGGCUGCACUUUGGAUUGGUCGUUUCUGUUAUGCUGCUUGGCUACGCUACUUGUAAUUCAAAUUUUGACGCAAGUUUGGCUUUUUAGCUCGUGGCUUCAUGUACAUUAUUAUCAAUCCGUAUGGAUGAUGGAAUUGGAUUUGGUUAGUUUGGUAGGUUAACUGGAUAUGGAUAUGGGAAGAAAAACUGAAUCUUAUUGAAAAAUGGUUUUUUAGAACAUGGA
Long non-coding RNA from Lathyrus oleraceus (garden pea), 1041 nucleotides. RefSeq lists it as uncharacterized. The transcript is spliced from 2 exons. The record is from RefSeq and is a predicted model, not a curated record. Lineage: Eukaryota; Viridiplantae; Streptophyta; Magnoliopsida; Fabales; Fabaceae.